Molecule: ribosomal RNA, 225 nt
Filed under: Triticum aestivum (bread wheat)
Lineage: Eukaryota; Viridiplantae; Streptophyta; Magnoliopsida; Poales; Poaceae
Description: partial small subunit ribosomal RNA
Source: RNAcentral
AUGUGUAUUCCAAAGGGCAAAGGAGGCAUGGGAUUUGGAGAUAUUCACUAUUUUAACUUGGCACUUCUUGCAAAAUAAGCUUGGCGGCUCAUUGAUAUUCCUGAAUCCCUUUGUGCAACAAUUCUCAAAGAAAAAUACUAUUCCGAUGAUGACCUCAUGAAUGUGGGGUUGAAGAAGAAGGCCUCCUAUACUUGUCAAAGUAUAAUGGUAGGAGUGGUACAUUGA